CAGGAUGAGGCUGCUGCCACCGAUAGUAGGGCUGAUGAUGGUACUGAGGCUAAUGUUUCUGAUCACCAUACGAACGAUGUUGGCUUGGAGCACCCUGUUGUUGAUGAGACCAGUCAUAAUGUUGAGGCUGUUGUUGACCGUGGAGUUAAUGAUCCAUCUACUGAUAAGUGCAAGGGUCCUGUUGUUGGCGACGAGCCUUGUUCGCCCGUUGGUGAUGUUGCUUUGAAUGUUAGCAGCAGCAAGAUCGAUGAUGUUGCUGUGAAUGCUUCUAAGAUGACUGAUGUUGAGCGUGAGGCUGUCGUUAGUGGUGGAGAUGAUGCUCGUGGUGUUCCAUUGAGUAGUGGGCGCGAUGUUGGUACCAAAGUUGUUGAUGAGGAUGUUGGUGCUGCUAGCAUACUUGAUGCCAAACCGUCUGGUGUUGGUAUUGCUGGGAAUGAAAAUGUUCUUGAUUGUGAAGAUUUGCCGCCGGAGAAUUUCCCGCCUGGAGGUCUUGAUUACGGUGAUGCAUUGCAAGAUGCUUCUAGCAUGGAGGAGGAACUACCGUCGUCGUCAAACACUGAUAGUGCAGAAAGUGGUAAGGUUGUUAAGGUUGAUAUGUUUUUCUUCGCUAUUACGAGGUUGCGCACGAACCGUACGAAAUGUCACAAGCCGAUGUUUCAAAAUAAAGAAUGUGAUGCCAGUGUUGGUUCUAUUGCUAAAGCGUUUGUCCCCACUGGCAUGCUCAACUCAGACAGUGCUGACGUUGUUUUAUAUUCUCUACGUCAGAAGUACCGAGACACUGACAAGUUGAUAGUUCCCAGAUGGCUUCUCUUCCCUACUUUUGAUCCGCCGUCCUUUGCGGCUACCAUGAAGCCUAGCGAAGAAUCUGGGCAUUGGUGCUUGAUUGUUCUGAAUUUGAGGUUCCGUCGUUUUGAGUGUCUUGAUUCACUGCGUGAUGAAACCUGGAGUGAUGCAGUUAGAUUCUUAAGGACUAUGACAGAUAACAUAAAGAAGCUUUGGAGGGAGUCCAGCGUAGACAGGGCCAAACCGUUCUCGCCGGUGCAUAUUGAUGGUUUCUCUUGCGAGUUUGUGCGGGUGCCGCAGCAGAAAAACAUCCACGAAGACAUUCUUGACAUUAGGAAGACUUUUCUGUAUACCUACGCAACUAGCGAUGUGUUUGAUGUUGACUUCCGUGGUUUGUUUGGCAUCGAACCCUGUGCGUGGCUGGAUCUUGAUGAGCAGGACUACAGGAUCUUUGGCAGCCAGUUCUCGGAAAGGUCUGGUCUUAUUAAGGGGCGGUUGGGAGCUCUGAAAGGUUCUACGGCUGCUUGUGCAGAGAGCCCCUCUACACCCAAGAAUCCCAUUGUGGAAUUGAUAGACAGCGAUGAUGAUGCGUUUGACAAGAUUGCUGGCAUGGGAAGAGUCACCAGGAGCGCUGCUGCUGCCAAGGGUUUAUCCCCACUUGCUGGAAUAGUGGCCCGUAGAGCUGGUGGUGCUAGGAAGGAUCCUGCUUUGGAUUCUGGCAAUGUUACAAGCACGAAGCGUGCACCCAGAGCUCCUAUAAAGUUUUGCUCCCCUGUGCAGCAGCUUCACCCUCAUAAAUUCCCUCACCUGGACAAGGCUCGCAAGUUGUAUAAUCUGUUGCUUAGCGAUGAAGCAUGUGAGAAGUAUGCCGAGAAUACAUUCUCAAUGAUACCUCAGCCUGGUGAUAACGUUACUAGCUUCACUGGGAAACGCAUCUGGGAAGUUUUUGCACCUGGGCAAAUGAUGGAGGGUGAUGUAAUGGACUUCCUCAUUGAUGAUUGGAAGAAAGAUCCCGAUAGAAAUGUUGAUUUUGCGUCUGGGAAAAGGGUAUUGCUGAGUCCAUAUUUCAUCACGGUUGUGCUUGACUGUACGUUUUACGGUGAUGAAAAUAAAGCGUUUAAUGUCGAGAGUGCAGCGAGAGAUUUCAAGAGCUAUGUCAAAGAAAAGGAAGACUUGCUCAGUGCCGACCUUAUCUCCAGGAUGGUCCAAGUAACGAAGGCUUUUUAUGGUGAUGCUCAGUACAAUGCGAGCAAGCAGCCCAAAUGGGAGCUUUUUGCAAACAAACCAAUGUUUGUGAAGGUUCCACUUCAAGGGGCGAAUGAAUGUGGCCAU
RNAcentral lists this ribosomal RNA (2115 nucleotides) under Triticum aestivum (bread wheat). RNAcentral's name for it is "partial small subunit ribosomal RNA". Lineage: Eukaryota; Viridiplantae; Streptophyta; Magnoliopsida; Poales; Poaceae. The record is from RNAcentral.